This 65-nucleotide transfer RNA is filed under the name Modiolus nipponicus. RNAcentral's name for it is "tRNA-Leu". The record is from RNAcentral. Lineage: Eukaryota; Metazoa; Mollusca; Bivalvia; Mytilida; Modiolidae.
GGUGAGGUGGCAGAAUAAUGCGACAGAUUUAAGCUUUGUUUAUGAAAUGGUUAUUUCUCUUGCUA